CCUGGUGUCUAUUGCGUAGUUGAACCACACUGAAACAUUCCCGAACUCAGUUGUGAAAGGCUAUUGCGGCGACGAUACUUGUCGGGUGACCGACUGUGAAAAUAGUUCGAUGCCAGGA
This 118-nucleotide ribosomal RNA is filed under the name Nostoc minutum NIES-26. The record is from RNAcentral. Lineage: Bacteria; Bacillati; Cyanobacteriota; Cyanophyceae; Nostocales; Nostocaceae.